Molecule: ribosomal RNA, 232 nt
Filed under: uncultured bacterium
Lineage: Bacteria
Description: partial 16S ribosomal RNA
Rfam family: Bacterial small subunit ribosomal RNA
Source: RNAcentral
CGGACGGGUGAGUAAUGUCUGGGAAACUGCCCGAUGGAGGGGGAUAACUACUGGAAACGGUAGCUAAUACCGCAUAACGUCGCAAGACCAAAGAGGGGGACCUUCGGGCCUCUUGCCAUCGGAUGUGCCCAGAUGGGAUUAGCUUGUAGGUAAGGUAACGGCUUACCUAGGCGACGAUCCCUAGCUGGUCUGAGAGGAUGAUCAGCCACACUGGAACUGAGACACGGUCCAG